Molecule: ribosomal RNA, 253 nt
Filed under: uncultured bacterium
Lineage: Bacteria
Description: partial 16S ribosomal RNA
Rfam family: Bacterial small subunit ribosomal RNA
Source: RNAcentral
UACGUAGGGUGCAAGCGUUGUCCGGAAUUAUUGGGCGUAAAGAGCUCGUAGGCGGUCUGUUGCGUCGGCUGUGAAAACCCGGGGCUCAACCCCGGGCCUGCAGCUGAUACGGGCAGACUAGAGUUCGGCAGGGGAGACUGGAAUUCCUGGUGUAGCGGUGAAAUGCGCAGAUAUCAGGAGGAACACCGGUGGCGAAGGCGGGUCUCUGGGCCGAUACUGACGCUGAGGAGCGAAAGCGUGGGGAGCGAACAGG